This 253-nucleotide ribosomal RNA is filed under the name uncultured bacterium. RNAcentral's name for it is "partial 16S ribosomal RNA". It matches the Rfam family "Bacterial small subunit ribosomal RNA", at positions 524 to 776 of the family's 1533-position model. The record is from RNAcentral.
UACGUAGGGUGCAAGCGUUGUCCGGAAUUAUUGGGCGUAAAGAGCUCGUAGGCGGUUUGUCGCGUCUGCUGUGAAAACUCGGGGCUUAACUCCGGGCCUGCAGUGGGUACGGGCAGACUAGAGUGCGGUAGGGGAGACUGGAAUUCCUGGUGUAGCGGUGGAAUGCGCAGAUAUCAGGAGGAACACCGAUGGCGAAGGCAGGUCACUGGGCCGCAACUGACGCUGAGGAGCGAAAGCGUGGGGAGCGAACAGG